RNAcentral lists this ribosomal RNA (404 nucleotides) under Actinomycetes bacterium. RNAcentral's name for it is "Actinobacteria bacterium partial 16S ribosomal RNA". It matches the Rfam family "Bacterial small subunit ribosomal RNA", at positions 355 to 776 of the family's 1533-position model. The record is from RNAcentral. Lineage: Bacteria; Bacillati; Actinomycetota; Actinomycetes.
UGGGGAAUAUUGGACAAUGGGCGCAAGCCUGAUCCAGCCAUGCCGCGUGAGUGAUGAAGGCCCUAGGGUUGUAAAGCUCUUUCACCGGUGAAGAUAAUGACGGUAACCGGAGAAGAAGCCCCGGCUAACUUCGUGCCAGCAGCCGCGGUAAUACGAAGGGGGCUAGCGUUGUUCGGAUUUACUGGGCGUAAAGCGCACGUAGGCGGACUUUUAAGUCAGGGGUGAAAUCCCGGGGCUCAACCCCGGAACUGCCUUUGAUACUGGAAGUCUUGAGUAUGGUAGAGGUGAGUGGAAUUCCAAGUGGAGAGGUGAAAUUCGUAGAUAUUCGGAGGAACACCAGUGGCGAAGGCGGCUCACUGGACCAUUACUGACGCUGAGGUGCGAAAGCGUGGGGAGCAAACAGG